UAGAAUCGUUGGGAGACACGAUGAAUGGU
RNAcentral lists this small RNA (29 nucleotides) under Bombyx mori (domestic silkworm). Its description in RNAcentral is "ovarian small RNA-21853". The record is from RNAcentral. Lineage: Eukaryota; Metazoa; Arthropoda; Insecta; Lepidoptera; Bombycidae.